This is a long non-coding RNA of Chiroxiphia lanceolata (lance-tailed manakin), 2808 nucleotides long. RefSeq lists it as uncharacterized. Lineage: Eukaryota; Metazoa; Chordata; Aves; Passeriformes; Pipridae. The record is from RefSeq and is a predicted model, not a curated record. The transcript has 7 exons.
GGGUCUAAAUGAAGUAACUACAUGUGAACUACUUACAUGUCCGUGGGGCUACUAUAUCUUAACUCUUUAAAUAUUUUGGUGGAUCAAUGCACUAACAACAUAUUAUGUCCUUAUCAAUGUUGGGGGGAUCUAUGCACUAAGUACGUGUAACUACUCAUAGAAUUCUUGGGGAACUACAUAUUGACUCCCAACAGAGUUGUUGGGGCACUGCCUAAUUCCUACUUCUAUACUUGUCGGGGCAAACAUGCUAGCUACAUCUUAGCUACAUCUAAAUGAACUGCUGUUAAUAUAGGGACUGUCUGUCAGGCCAUAGGUGGAAGCUAUGUCAGGGCCUCGGUGAAGGUUGCCAGGCCCUAAGUGAAGGUUGUCAGGGCCUUAGUGAAGGUUGUCAGGGCUUAGUUGAAGGUUGUCAGGGCCUGGGUGAAGGUUGUCAGGCCCUAGGUGAAGGUUGUCAGGGCUUGGGUGAAGGUUGUCAGGGCCUGGGUGAAGGUUGUCAGGGCUUGGCUGAAGGUUGUCAGGGCUUAGGUGAAGGUUGUCAGGGCCUGGGUGAAGGUUGUCAGGCCCUAGGUGAAGGUUGUCAGGCCCUAGGUGAAGAUUGUCAGGCCCUAGGUGAAGGUUGUCAGGGCCUCGGUGAAGGUUGUCCGGGCCUCGGUGAAGGUUGUCAGGGCCUGGGUGAAGGUUGUCAGGCCCUAGGUGAAGGUUGUCAGGGCUUGGGUGAAGGUUGUCAGGGCCUGGGUGAAGGUUGUCAGGGCUUGGCUGAAGGUUGUCAGGGCUUAGGUGAAGGUUGUCAGGGCCUGGGUGAAGAUUGUCAGGCCCUAGGUGAAGGUUGUCAGGGCCUCGGUGAAGGUUGUCAGGGCCUGGGUGAAGGUUGUCAGGCCCUAGGUGAAGGUUGUCAGGGCUUGGGUGAAGGUUGUCAGGGCCUGGGUGAAGGUUGUCAGGGCUUGGCUGAAGGUUGUCAGGGCUUAGGUGAAGGUUGUCAGGGCCUGGGUGAAGGUUGUCAGGCCCUAGGUGAAGGUUGUCAGGCCCUAGGUGAAGGUUGUCAGGGCCUGGGUGAAGGUUGUCAGGCCCUAGGUGAAGGUUGUCAGGGCUUGGGUGAAGGUUGUCAGGGCCUGGGUGAAGGUUGUCAGGGCUUGGCUGAAGGUUGUCAGGGCUUAGGUGAAGGUUGUCAGGGCCUGGGUGAAGGUUGUCAGGCCCUAGGUGAAGGUUGUCAGGCCCUAGGUGAAGGUUGUCAGGGCCUGGGUGAAGGUUGUCAGGCCCUAGGUGAAGGUUGUCAGGGCUUGGGUGAAGGUUGUCAGGGCCUGGGUGAAGGUUGUCAGGGCUUGGCUGAAGGUUGUCAGGGCUUAGGUGAAGGUUGUCAGGGCCUGGGUGAAGGUUGUCAGGCCCUAGGUGAAGGUUGUCAGGCCCUAGGUGAAGAUUGUCAGGCCCUAGGUGAAGGUUGUCAGGGCCUCGGUGAAGGUUGUCCGGGCCUCGGUGAAGGUUUUCAGGGUGUUUCUUCUCCAGGCCGCAGCUCGUGUGCUGCAAGGGUUCCAGCAGCCGCUGCUGGAAGUCCCUCCUGGUCCACCCUUAGGGGCCCUCCUCUCAGGGCCCUCCUCUGCAGACCAUGCUCUUCUUCCUCUUCCUUGUUUGCAUCGCCCUUGUCACCUUCUUCUUGAUUUCCUUGGCGAAUGCCCAGAUUUCCUUCACCUCUUUGUAUCUCUUCCUGAUGGUGAGCAUGGUCUGGACGGAUUCCCUCCUCCUCCUCGUCGCCUCUUCGAGGGCUCUCCUGGCGGCUGCUCUCUGGUUCAUGGCUGCUAUUGUGCGGCUGAACCAGAGCGCCAAGAGGAGGCCCAGGGCUACAGCAGGAGCCGAGAAGUGCCACUGCUGGAGGGCAGCCCAGAGCAGGGCUCCCCCGGCACGCAGAGCGUGCUCCAGGGGGCCCUGCUCCAGCUCCUGCUGCAGCCGACUCAUCUCCCUCUGGAGAUAGUGAGUGCGCAGCUCCAUGCGCUCCCGCGUCACCUCGUCCAACCCGUCGCCCACCGGCUGCGGGUAGUGGAUGAGGCUCUGCAGAAGCAAAGCAAGGAACAUUGUCCGAGCCAUAGCGUGCAGGGGAGAGAGAGUGGGGGGCGCCCACUCCCUGCCUCUGCCCAGACUGGACUGGGGCAGCGUUACCUGCGGUGGCCUUUUAUACUCGCCUCCAUUGUGACGUGUGCCAUGUGACGUCACAGACGCCAGAGGCAUCACAGCCAGGCCAGCCCCGCCCUUCGUGCCCACCCCGGCUCAGCCACUGCCAGUGGGCAACCAGAGCCCCGACAGCCGCCAAGUGCAGCCCCAGCGGCAGGGAAUGGGCCCCCAGGGGCUCCCUUGGCAAAGCGGGCAGAAGCCCCCGAUCCCUUGUCAAAUGGAACAGUGGGGGACAUGGCCCUUGGACGCUUUGCUCCUUUGGAUCCCCUGCUGUGGGCCGGGAUCAGUUCCCUCGGGGCUGACCUCUGGGCUUGCGGGGGUGCUGCUGGAGCUUUGGAACACCUCUGGGUGCUUGGUGGUGAAUAUCCUGGUGGUGGGAUGGGUCCUCUCCGUGGCAGGAUCUCUGUUGCUGCUUGGCACUGUGAGGGGACCUUGGUUGCAAAGAGACAUUGCCCAGGAGUGAGGAGGAGCUGUGGGGGUGGAUUUCCCGGAAGGAGACUGUAGCAACACCAAGUCGGGGCUCCUUUAGAUCAAGAAUGAAGCAGGGGGUGGUUCCGGCCCAGAAUUUGAGCUGUUUGCAACAUAGUAAAACGUGUGUGUUAAGCGGGGAUAGGUCAACUCGUGUUGCCCCUGAAGGCCGGAGCAAAA